Non-coding RNA from Picea glauca (white spruce), 121 nucleotides. The record is from Rfam. NCBI's taxonomy places the organism in Eukaryota, Viridiplantae, Streptophyta, Pinopsida, Pinales, Pinaceae.
ACAUGCCUACAUCAUAACGUUAAUGCAUCGGAUCCCAAUAGAAAUCCACAGUUAAGCGCUCUCAGGAUAGACUAGUACCGGGAUGGGUGACCUCUCAGGAAGUCCUACUAUUUUACAUGCC